This is a non-coding RNA of Podarcis lilfordi (Lilford's wall lizard), 268 nucleotides long. NCBI's taxonomy places the organism in Eukaryota, Metazoa, Chordata, Lepidosauria, Squamata, Lacertidae. The record is from the annotation of a GenBank genome assembly.
AUGUUGUAUCUCUUUAUAGGGUUUGGAGGCUUGUGAGACCUUUCAAAGCAAAUGUUGAAGAUGUGCAAGGAAGGAGGAGAAUUGUGUGAGCAGAAUUCUGCUGGUGCAGCAUGGAUGCAACGCUUUCUACUUUAGCCUGAUCCGCUGCCAAAUACCUGGGAAUGGAAUUUGACCCGUGUCUAAAUCUGCCUAGAUGCAUAAUAAUCCUGUCCAGAAGAUUGCCCAUUGCACCAGAAAGGAUUGCCACCUUUGAAAUUGCAUGCCAGGA